AGGGAUUCAGCUAGGAGGAGAAGUGGAAAGAGGAAAGGUUGAGAGAGCUGUGAAGAGGUUGAUUGUGGAUAAAGAAGGUGCAAACAUGAGGAGAAGAGCCCUUGAUUUAAAAGAGAUGAUCAAAGCCUCCGUAAGAAUUGGAGGCUCCUCGUACAACGCAUUCGAUGAGCUCGUCAAGUACUUGAAGGUAGGGAGUGAAGAAGCUGAACCUCAUGUAUAAUUAGAGAUCACUAAAACGUCUAUUUUGAGCUAGAUAUACACAAAAAUUCAGUUUCAACAAAAGCGAUAAUAAACAGAAAUGUAAUAUUUAUCAUGCUUUAUGAAAGACAUAUAUCAUUACCCCAG
RNAcentral lists this long non-coding RNA (345 nucleotides) under Brassica rapa (field mustard). RNAcentral describes it as "long non-coding RNA (BRAP_LNC004294)". The record is from RNAcentral. Lineage: Eukaryota; Viridiplantae; Streptophyta; Magnoliopsida; Brassicales; Brassicaceae.